Molecule: long non-coding RNA, 1321 nt
Filed under: Equus caballus (horse)
Lineage: Eukaryota; Metazoa; Chordata; Mammalia; Perissodactyla; Equidae
Description: lncRNA (ENSECAG00000052534.1)
Source: RNAcentral
GGACACAGAGACAUACAUAGAGGGAAGACGAUAUGAAGAGAUGGAGAAGAUGCCGCUCUACAAGGCAAGGAGGGAGGGCUGGAGCAGUCUCUCUCUCUCGCAGCCCUCAGAAGGAACUAACCCUGCUGACAUCUUGGUUUCAGACUCCUAGUCUCCAGAACUCCAAGGUGCAGAAGAGAAGGCAGGAGCUGAAGCAGCGAGCUUGGACCGUUGAGGCCAACUGGGUAACGCUCAGCAGAGAACCUGGUAGAAGGAGUCUGCCUCAAACACCCGUAGAGCAUCGUACCUGCCUUGAGCCACCUGCCUAAGAUUUGACCUGAGAGAGAAGUGACCCUCCACCUGCUGAAGCCACUGUCCGGGGCAUCUGCUCUCACUUGCAGCUGAACCUCACCCUCGUGACUACAUAUGAAGAAGUUGAGGCACGGAGGGAGCAAAUAGCCUGCGGACACAGUGUGGUGCAGGGAGAGGGGCGCUAACCAAGCAGGCUGACUGCGAGCCGCGUUCUGCACGCCAUCCGUGCCACAGCACAAGUAGGAACAUUAAACAAGGUGAGGCCUCGGUUCCGGAGUGGAGCGCCUCUGCCCCGCCGGUGGAGUCCCCUGAUCCAGUGAGGCUGGUUUGAAGCAGCCCUCUGCCCCUCGCCUUGCGUAACCAGCUCCAGAAGCACACUUUGUUCCUCCUGUGCGUUUUAUGGCCUGGCACAAAUGAAGAUCCUGGCUGGAAGAGCCAGCACGCCUCCAGCUCCAGCUCACCUGUGGACGCAGCCUUUCUCUCAAGUAUCCUGAAGCGCUUCAAGUUAACGAUGGUGCCUGCAUGCAGCGUUGGCUUGCUUGAAGAAGUUGCUUUGCAAUAAGAGGCGCAGUAUCAGUAGACGGUUUGAAACAGCCCAAGCUGGUUGGACGAGUGCCGCAGCAUUAGGGCAAAUAAUAGCUAACACUUGGGGAGUGCUGACAGCGAAAGUGCUUGGCAUAUAAACUCAGCGAAUUCGCACAGUGACUCUGUGGGUCGUAUGUUAUCUGCGUUUUACAGACACGGAAACUGAGGUGCAGUUACUUGUUACUUGAGACCAAACAGCCGAUGAGUGAGGCAGAGUGGAACCAAUCGUCCCGACCACUUGCCCGUGCGGCCUCUUGUGAACAGCGACAGACAAGAAGAGAGGCCGAUGGGAGAGGGACAGCUCCCCAGCAGUCAGGAGCUGCGGAGUGAGGCACAGAGACGCUAUCUAUUUUCACCCUUAACCGAAAAAAAUCCAGGACUUGUGAAGUCGCAGAGAAAUAGGCACUCUGCUGUGUACAGCGGGCUGCAGCCUGUCUGAAGCGCA